Molecule: ribosomal RNA, 245 nt
Filed under: uncultured bacterium
Lineage: Bacteria
Description: partial 16S ribosomal RNA
Rfam family: Bacterial small subunit ribosomal RNA
Source: RNAcentral
CGUGAGCGGCGGACGGGGGAGUAACGCGUGGGUACCGUACCUCAUACAGGGGAGUAACAGUUGGAAACGACUGCUAAUACCGCAUAAGCGCACAGUACCGCAUGGUACCGUGUGAAAAACUACCGGUGGUAUGAGAUGGACCCGCGUCUGAUUAGCUAGUUGGUGGGGUAACGGCCUACCAAGGCGACGAUCAGUAGCCGACCUGAGAGGGUGACCGGCCACAUUGGGACUGAGACACGGCCCAA